UUCAGUUGGGCACUCUAAUGAGACUGCCGGUGACAAACCGGAGGAAGGUGGGGAUGACGUCAAGUCCUCAUGGCCCUUAUGGGUAGGGCUUCACACGUCAUACAAUGGUCGGUACAGAGGGUUGCCAACCCGCGAGGGGGAGCUAAUCUCACAAAGCCGAUCGUAGUCCGGAUCGCAGUCUGCAACUCGACUGCGUGAAGUCGGAAUCGCUAGUAAUCGUGGAUCAGCAUGUCACGGUGAAUACGUUCCCGGGUCUUGUACACACCGCCCGUCACACCAUGGGAGUGGGUUUCACCAGAAGUAGGUAGUCUAACCGCAAGGAGGGCGCUUACCACGGUGGGGUUCAUGACUGGGGUGAAGUCGUAACAAGGUAACCGU
Molecule: ribosomal RNA, 378 nt
Filed under: uncultured beta proteobacterium
Lineage: Bacteria; Pseudomonadati; Pseudomonadota; Betaproteobacteria
Description: bacterial SSU rRNA
Rfam family: Bacterial small subunit ribosomal RNA
Source: RNAcentral